RNAcentral lists this non-coding RNA (45 nucleotides) under Schistosoma curassoni. The record is from RNAcentral. Lineage: Eukaryota; Metazoa; Platyhelminthes; Trematoda; Strigeidida; Schistosomatidae.
AUACAUCGGACGAGUCCCAAAUAGAACGAAACGCGCAUCCUGAAU